RNAcentral lists this long non-coding RNA (2037 nucleotides) under Oncorhynchus mykiss (rainbow trout). Its description in RNAcentral is "lncRNA (ENSOMYG00000060793.1)". Lineage: Eukaryota; Metazoa; Chordata; Actinopteri; Salmoniformes; Salmonidae. The record is from RNAcentral.
UGUACCUCUGGCUUUAAUUCCAGUUUGUCUAUAAAUGUAUAAUAAUUGAUAUGUUGGAUUAAUGUCUCCAUUUCAACCAAGAAUCAAAGUUACAGAAUAGGUCUAAAUCAAAUCCAACUUUAUUUCAAAUCAAAUCCAACUUUAUUUAAAAUGCAUUUAAAGUUUGAUUAGAUUUAGUCCUAUUUUUAUUUAUUUUUAAACUUAGAUUGUUGGUUGAGAUAGAGACGUGAAUCCAAUAGCCUAGCGGUUAAGAGCGUUGGGUUAGUAACUGAAAGGUUGCUGGUUUGAAUCCCCGGAGCCGACUAGGUGAAAAUCUGUUGUGCCCUUGAGCAAGGCACUUAUCCCUAAUUGCUCCUGUAAGUCUCUCUGGAUAAGAGUGUCUGCUAAAUGACUAACACGUUCAUAUUAAUAGGUGAGUGUGAUAUUACACAUUCCGUUGGUUGAAUGACAGACGAGCGGUGUGUGAAUGUGACUAUGACACACACACACACAGCCUAUGAUUUUAGUUAAUGCCAUUCCAAGAUAUUCCUCCCUGCAGCCAUAGAUAGGUGUGUUGUGUAAGGCCCCGUCGGCUCUGUGACAGCAUGUCUGCUUGGUUACAGGUGGGAGGACUGUUUGCGCUAAACCCCUUUUCCUGGAUGGGAGAACAUCUUUAGGAAAAACACACAUUGCUCAAUUUCACACUUUGGUCUCCAGAACAGGGCAUGUUGUAUCCAGAGUUAUACAGGCAGCAGCUGAAGUAGGAUUAGCCCAGUCUGGAGUGGAUUCAACAGCCAGCCAGCCAGCCAGCCAGCCUGCCAGCCAGCCUGCCAGCCAGCCAGCCAGCCAGCCCUGCCUGAGGUGGGAGAGGGGAGAGCAGAGGGACUACAACACUAGCUCAGCUCCAACGUGGUCGUAUUGGGGUAAGUCUGUUACUGCCCACCUCCAUGUCUUCACCUGUCUCUGUGAACCUGCCCCCUCAUUGAACAGACACCGUCUUUGCUCAUAAGGUUUUUGUUGGGCGCUGGUUGCUGUUUGUUUGAACUCAACCACUCUUCUUCUUGUGUUAGUCUGAAAUGGAAGAAUGAGGAGUCCGUUUGUUGACCCUCCCACCCCUCUGUUACAGCAGACAGACACUAAACAGAGAGCAACGCUAACUGACUAUAAGGUUUUGGCUGAGGGGGGGGUUCUGCUUGUAUCUGUUUGUUUUGAAUCAUUUAGUGUUGUUGUAGUCUGACUAGCUAAUUAGCUUGUUGUAGUCCGACUAGCUAAUUAGCUUGUUGUAGUCUGACUAGCUAAUUAGCUUGUUGUAGUCCGACUAGCUAAUUAGCUUGUUGUAGUCUUGACCAGCUAAUUAGCUUGUUGUAGUCUGACUAGCUAAUUAGCUUGUUGUAGUCCAACUAGCUAAUUAGCUUGUUGUAGUCUGACUAGCUAAUUAGCUUGUUGUAGUCCGACUAGCUAAUUAGCUUGUUGUAGUCUGACUAGCUAAUUAGCUUGUUGUAGUCUUGACUAGAUAAUUAGCUUGUUGUAGUCUGACUAGCUAAUUAGCUUGUUGUAGUCUUGACUAGCUAAUUAGCUUGUUAUAGUCUGACUAGCUAAUUAGCUUGUUGUAGUCUUGACUAGCUAAUUAGCUUGUUGUAGUCUUGACUAGCUAAUUAGCUUGUUAUAGUCUGACUAGCUAAUUAGCUUGUUGUAGUCUUGACUAGCUAAUUAGCUUGUUAUAGUCUGACUAGCUAAUUAGCUUGUUGUAGUCCGACUAGCUAAUUAGCUUGUUGUAGUCCGACUAGCUAAUUAGCUUGUUGUAGUCUGUCUUUAGCUAAUUAGCUUGUUGUAGUCUGUCUUUAGCUAAUUAGCUUGUUGUAGUCUGUCUUUAGCUAAUUAGCUUGUUGUAGUCUGUCUUUAGCGAAUUAGCUUGUUGUAGUCUGACUAGCUAAUUAGUGUGUUGUAGUCUGACUAGCUAAUUAGCUUGUUGUAGUCCAAUUUGCUAAUUAGCAUGUUGUUGUCUGUCUUUAGCUAAUUAGCUUAUUGUAGUCUGUCUUUAGCUAAUUAGCUUGUUGU